RNAcentral lists this ribosomal RNA (701 nucleotides) under uncultured Burkholderia sp. RNAcentral's name for it is "bacterial SSU rRNA". It matches the Rfam family "Bacterial small subunit ribosomal RNA", at positions 60 to 756 of the family's 1533-position model. The record is from RNAcentral. Lineage: Bacteria; Pseudomonadati; Pseudomonadota; Betaproteobacteria; Burkholderiales; Burkholderiaceae.
AGUCGAACGGCAGCACGGGGGCAACCCUGGUGGCGAGUGGCGAACGGGUGAGUAAUACAUCGGAACGUGUCCUGUAGUGGGGGAUAGCCCGGCGAAAGCCGGAUUAAUACCGCAUACGCUCUACGGAGGAAAGGGGGGGAUCUUAGGACCUCUCGCUACAGGGGCGGCCGAUGGCAGAUUAGCUAGUUGGUGGGGUAAAGGCCUACCAAGGCGACGAUCUGUAGCUGGUCUGAGAGGACGACCAGCCACACUGGGACUGAGACACGGCCCAGACUCCUACGGGAGGCAGCAGUGGGGAAUUUUGGACAAUGGGCGCAAGCCUGAUCCAGCAAUGCCGCGUGUGUGAAGAAGGCCUUCGGGUUGUAAAGCACUUUUGUCCGGAAAGAAAACUUCUGCCCUAAUACGGCGGGAGGAUGACGGUACCGGAAGAAUAAGCACCGGCUAACUACGUGCCAGCAGCCGCGGUAAUACGUAGGGUGCAAGCGUUAAUCGGAAUUACUGGGCGUAAAGCGUGCGCAGGCGGUUCGCUAAGACAGAUGUGAAAUCCCCGGGCUUAACCUGGGAACUGCAUUUGUGACUGGCGGGCUAGAGUAUGGCAGAGGGGGGUAGAAUUCCACGUGUAGCAGUGAAAUGCGUAGAGAUGUGGAGGAAUACCGAUGGCGAAGGCAGCCCCCUGGGCCAAUACUGACGCUCAUGCACGA